This 301-nucleotide ribosomal RNA is filed under the name uncultured bacterium. Its description in RNAcentral is "partial 16S ribosomal RNA". It matches the Rfam family "Bacterial small subunit ribosomal RNA", at positions 509 to 807 of the family's 1533-position model. The record is from RNAcentral.
CAGUAGCCACGGUAAUACGUAGGUCCCGAGCGUUGUCCGGAAUUAUUGGGCGUAAAGGGCUCGCAGGCGGUUUCUUAAGUCUGAUGUGAAAGCCCCCGGCUCAACCGGGGAGGGUCAUUGGAAACUGGGAAACUUGAGUGCAGAAGAGGAGAGUGGAAUUCCACGUGUAGCGGUGAAAUGCGUAGAGAUGUGGAGGAACACCAGUGGCGAAGGCGACUCUCUGGUCUGUAACUGACGCUGAGGAGCGAAAGCGUGGGGAGCGAACAGGAUUAGAUACCCCGGUAGUCCCUGUCUCUUAUAC